RNAcentral lists this long non-coding RNA (7992 nucleotides) under Marmota monax (woodchuck). Lineage: Eukaryota; Metazoa; Chordata; Mammalia; Rodentia; Sciuridae. The record is from RNAcentral.
CUCAUAUUGUGCUUCUGUAUGGAAGACCUUCCUGUGACCUAGUAGACUAAUCUGAUGGAUGAUGGAUGUACUACGAUUUCCAGAGCACAUACCACCAACACCUUCACCUGGAAGGUUACGCACUCCAAUACUUACAGGACCCAGGCAAGUAAUAUAACUAAGCAUAGGUCAAUUGGGGACCAGGAAAAUUGAAGAAAAAACACUCUUUUGUGAUAAUGGGUAUAUGGUACUAUGUUGCCAGACUUUCCUUUUUUUUUUUUUCGAAUUUAGGAAUCUAAAUUAUUUGAUUUGAAUAUUAUCUAAUAUUCAAAAAUUGGAUAAUUAAUUUAAAUAUUAAAUAACUCUCAUAGAUCAAAUGAACAAAUUAAAACACAAAUCAGACACAUAUACACACAUGAACAGCUCAGCACUGACUCUUGAGGAAUCGGUCUGUGUGUGGAAUGUCCCCUUGGUACACCAAACUGAUGCCCGCCCGUGGUUACUCUGGGAACAGGAGUGGGAGUAAGUGGGGACUUUUACAUUUUUCUCAGUAUACUUUCCUAUUGUUUGAAUCUUUGACAAUGAGAACACAUUCAUGUACUAUUUUUACAAUUAUUUGAGAAAACCUAUAGUCUGAAAACUCCAAGAAAGACUGCAUUUAGGAAUUGAAAGACAUUUAAGAAUGAUUGGAGGCUGACAAAUUGAUUGCAUGCAAGAUAGACACUCCAUCAAGAAAAAAAAGAAAGAAAGAACUUGGAAAAAGCAGAAAAAGAUCCAAAGGACUAUCAAUUCAUAAAAUUUAAACAGGAUCCUGUAAAAAUCAGACAACAUGAAAGAGCUCUUAGAAAUUAAAAGUAAUAAUAGAAACAAUAAAAGCAAUAAUAGAAACAAUAACAUUCCAAAGAAAUGUUCGAUAUUAAAGUAGUAAUACCAACUACUUGGAAGGCUGAGACAGGAAAAUUGUGACAAGUUCUCCAUGGAGCCAGCCUGGCUCCAUGGAGAACUUGUCUCAAAAAAACAAAACAAAACAAUAAACACAAAGUAAACAAAAUUUUUAAAAAAGUUAAAGUUGGUAAAAUCUCAUGGCAAAUUCUUAUUAUGAAUGAAGUUAGCAUCUCUUAGAUAUUUAAGAGCCAUUUAUUUUUCUUUUUCUCUGGACUCUGAUUAUGUCCUUUCCCCACAUUUCUACUAGUUUUUGACCUUUUCCUUGUUGAUUUCUAAGAGCUCUUUACAUUUUAGGAAAAAUAAUUGUUCAUGUUACAAUUUUGGGGGGCAGUGGGUGGAGUUUCUUUUGUCCUUAAUAUUCUGCUAAGUUUUUGAUCAUAUGUAGUAAGAUUUAUAAAUAUUCCCUUUUAUAGAUUCUGGGGUUAUAAUUAGAUUCUCCCCACUCAAAAAUUAUAAUUCAUUUAUUUUUCAUGUUUUCUUCUAAUAACUUUAAGAUUUUAUUUUCUACCUUUAAAUCUUUGAUCCAUUUAGAAUAUAUCCACAUAUAUCUUUUCCAGAUGCGUACAAAAAUACCCUAACUUUAUUUAUUAACUACUUGACACAAUUAAAUAGAUGUAUUACCAUGAUUAAAAAAAAAAAUCAAUGGUAGAGAAGCCGCCCUGAUAUCCCAAGGAGGAGAGAGAAGGGAGGAAGUGUAAAGGUCACAUCCUUUCCUCCAGCCCUGUGUGGCCACUCCUACUCAGGUGGCCAUCUCUGAAGUGGUAUCAUGCCCCAGGGAGGUUUUGUCAGGGGGGGGAAACUUGACUGCAAACCAUAAAACAAAAAUGAUCCUGAGUCAUCGAAGCCCCUGAGGGUCCCAGUCAGGGGAUACUGGCCAUGCUCAGACACUGGACAAGUGAGUUGGAUACCAGACCUGGGAGGGAGACAGCAGGAACAGCUCUGGGAAGUGGUGGAAUUCCCUGCCCGGGGAUGACUCAGCGUGAACAAACUUCCUGUGUGUCUGUGUUUAGGCUUCUAAUCCCUGGGAGUGAGCGUCAGUUGGCCGGGCUUGGUCACUGGCCUCUUCCCUGUCAUAGCAGUCCUGGUCCUUGGAUUAGUGGAACACCAGAACCAUGUGGGCGGGGUGGGGGGGCCCAGUUUAUCCAAGAAGAAAUGCGGAGCAACAAAGCCAAACAAAGCCUGGUAGCAGCUGCCCACAACAUUUGUAAAAAUAGUAACAAUCAAAAAUAGCAACUAUUUGCUGACUGUUUUCCUAGAGGCCCGGGAUUGUGUUAAAUAUUUUAUCUCAGUUAUCUUCUUUUUUAAAAAAAUUUGUUCCAAUUAAUUUUAUAUAUGACAGUGGAAUGUACUUUGAUAUUUCAUAUAUAGGUGGAGUAUAAUUUCUCAUUCUUCUGGUUGUACGUAAUGUGGAAUCCCACUGGUCGUAUAGUUAGUUAUACAUGUACAUAGGGCAAUAAUGUCUGGUUCAUUCUACUCUCCUUCCUACCCCCACAUCACCUCCCCUCCUUCACAUCCUCUACCUAAAAUACCAGCUCUGUGAAGUGGGUACCGUUCUUCCCUUUGACAGGUGAGGAAACUAAGGCUAAAGGGAGAAUAAGGGGCUUCUCUAAGACACAGCUCGUCAAUGGCAUAACCAGGGCACAAACCUGAACAUGUUAGCCCCAACCCAGCCUCCUGCCUUGUAACCAUGAGGUGACAUUGCCCUCUGAGGAAGAGACUGAGCUCUGAAUGUUGUGCCUCUGACCUCCACAGACUUUAAACAGUAGCCUAGGCUUGCGCUGCCACCCAGGGUACCCCUUCAUGUCCCCAUCAACCCUCUGGGUGAUUGUUGCUGUUCUCAUGGGAGAGAGGCUCACAGCAAGAAGGACAAAGCCUUCUCAUUCAUUCUUGCCUUACCAUCUUCAGCAAAAGUCCUCUGGGUUGGGCCAUUUGAGCAUAGCAGGUUGCCGUCUCUUGCUGCAUGCGUAGAUGCCCCUUGGACCCUGCAGUCAAUGUCUGGACGGUCUAUGUAACUUCUCUCUCUUUCCUUGGGUUGGGGCUCCUCUACAUUGGCUACACUAUGUGGGACAUUGAGUGAUGGAUGGCCUUUGUCUCAGUGGUUUUAUUCACCCACAUUCUAGGUCAAUGACUAUGCAUUAAUAGUUCAUACACACAAACACACUUCCCUCUUUCCACCUGCCCUGGAGUCUCUUCAGCUGUGCCUGGUGCUGCAUCUAAUCCUCAUCUUGUAACCCGCACCACACAACAUCCUAGUCAGUGCCAGCAAGGGUUUCCUGGAGGACUAGGUGUCCAGGAGUGUGUGCGCUCCUGUAGGCCACACCCAAGCUGCAAAGUCUAACCCCUUCAUGCUGCAAAGAUCUUCAAAUUCAGCCAUUCCGUGGCACUUUGGGGUGGGGGGUUGUCACCUACCUUGUUGGGAGGACAUUCAAGUGGACCAAGAGGUCCACAGCAAGAGUAGAACCUGAUAGUCAGGUGAGUGAGCCAUUUUGGAAGCAGGUCCUCCAGAUGAUCACAGCCUUAGUUGAUGUCUUAGCUGUGACCUCCUGAGAGUCCCCAAACCAGAACUGCCAGCUGAGGCAGUCCUGAUCCCUGACCCACAGACACUGUGAAGAUAAUAAAUGUUCAGCAUUGUUGAAUCCACUGUGUUUUGGGGAUAAUUUGUUACACGGAGAUAGAGAACUAACAUAAAUUCCAAUUUACCCAGCGCAUUUAAAAUAUGACUUGCUUUUUCAGAAUUUGAUAUACUUUCAACCUUAUAGGAAAGUGCUACUAUAAAUUGAAUUACAACUGCAGAUAUAUAAAUAGGGGGAAGGGGUCUGGAGACAUAAAAUGUGAAAAAUUGUCAUAGUCCCCAACCUGGCCUUCAUCUUGAGGCUGGGGAAUGUCAUUUGGAGGCAGUGAGAGCCUGGGAGCAGCAUGCGUCAGCCAUGAUGAUGAACAAAGGCUGGAGCCCUGGCUCAGUGGCACUUGCUCAGUGAAUGCACUGGUCCUCUGGUUCAAUUGCCCGUCAUUGGUUUAUUAACGGUGCUGGUGCAUAAUGAAGUGCAGGACUGGGGCGGGCUCCGCAGCUCCCAAUCUGGAUAUAACAAAGGCUGCAGCUGCUGUUGCUGUCUUCACUUAACUUCACAGUGACCUUAAAUUAUAUCCCCUAGUGGUGACACAGCCAGAAUAGUAUACCGUUGGGGAUGUUAAUUAACCCCCUACAGGAUACACAAGAUAGAAAAUAACCACUCAGAGAGCGACACAGGCUCCCGCACCUCUCCAGAUUCACGCAGCCACUGUCCCUCUGUAGCAUGUAUCUAUUUACCACUGUGAAUGGAGCCAGACAAGAGGCUUUGGGGCCUUCCAGUGCCUGCCCUUCUGCUACCAAGAGUCACCAACCAAGGCCUGCAGACUUGAUGGUACAGAGAGGUAUUUGGUCCAUAGAACCCAUUCCUGCUCUUAGUGUCCGCUGCCUGUGUGGCUUACAGAGGUGCAAAUAAGGCCAUGCUGAGCGGCCUUUGGGCUAUUUGAGAAACUUGACCCUCAUGAGAAUCGUUGGAUUGGGUUUUGGCAGGAUGAUUGCAAGUUCUCCUUUGGCUCAAAUUCUCUUAGUCCAUCAGAUAAUGGGAGGAAAAGUAGGUGAGGCUUUCUGUCAGCCUUGUUUAACAGGUGAAAGCAAAAAAGCCACAAAAAGGGGAUGUUUACGAGGACUGUGAAGAGGAAGUCCAAGUUUCCUGCAGACUUUAUUUGCUAGUGAUAAUAAUAAUAACAAUUAUAAUAGCAGAUGAUGUUUAUUGAGCAUUUGCUCUCUGCCAAUGGCAUGCUAAGCAUUUGUCAUCUAUUUUCCCCUAUAAGGAAAGUAUUGCUUUUAUCCCAUUGUAUCAUUGAAGAGGCUGAGGUUCAGGAUGGGAAGUUAUUCUAGGUGAUAUGGCUGAAAUAGAGUCUCUCUCCAAGUCUGCCCACCAAAGAACUUUUGUUUUCCCUUCAGUGUUCCCAUGAUGAGGCUUUGAUUUUCCCUGGCUGGUGGCUGGUGAUGAUACAUUUCCUAAUAUUAAUAGGCUGAUCAUUGAUUUUGCCAUCUCUCAUCUGUGGGAGUUUGCUCUACCCCUUACAUCUGUAAUGGACCUAAGAAAUAUCUAGCACCACAGUAGGCAAUCAGCUCAAGGUUGGUCUGAACUUGAUGUCAUGGAAACAAGGGACUAUUAAACUGGUAAUUGGGAUAAAGUAUCAACACCAUUAUCAAACAACAUUUAUUGAUAUACCAGUAAGCAAGUAACAAGUAAUGUCUGUGAGGCAUCAAGAAAUCAUACUAUCUAAUGUAUUAUGUCUGAGUGUCUAAACCAGACAUACUCAAACUUUAGCACAAAUGAUGAUGGCAUGGAGUUAUUAUUAAAAAGACACUUAAGUCAGACUUAUCCCUUGAAAUUCAGGUCCUUGCUGAACAUGAACAUCUUCAUAUUUGAGGAUUUCACUGUUUAUUCUGAUUUAUACCUAAGGCUGAAAGCCAGUGUCUUUGUGGAAUACAGAGUCUAUGGAGAAUGCACAAGAACAUUAAAAGGAAACUAUAAUUUAAAAGUAAAAUUGCUAUAUUUUUACUUGCAUCUUGUGUUCUUUUUCAACACAACAGAGUGGAUUCACCUAUGGAAGAACUAAUGUUUGUUGGACAGUCUAAAUGCAUGUAGCACAUUACAUUCCAUAGCAUUCAAAGUCCAAGCAGGAAAAAAACAAACAAGCUGAAAUCAUGCUAGUAUUUCAACCAGAGAGUAUUUAAUACAGUGUAUGGAUUUCACAGAUGUUGGAACAUCCAAAAGGGAGAAGUGAAAUUAGCAACUACAAGAAGCAAUCUUAGGGCUGGAGCGACAGAAGUAGAGGUAUAACAAGAACCUCAGAGUCCAGAGGAAGGUCCACCUUAGAAGCUGAACUGCUGUAAGAACAUCAAGUAUUUGGUACUGAACUGCCAAUGAGCCACUAUGUGGCUGGUGAUAGGAGAGUGGCUUGACCCCAAGGCUAGAAUAUCAAAAGAUGCUAGAAUUGUAGCUGUCUAAAACAGGUGCAAGCAGGGAGAGAUUCCUUUCUUUUCUCCUGCCUUCCAAUCUUCCAGUUGUACCUGCCAAUUGCAGACCAGAACUGGAAAUUGGUUUGCCAGGGAAUUCAUAAUUUUCAGCCUCCAAGGUCCCAGUAUCACCACUUGCAAGACAGAAGGGUACACAUUGAACUGAGAGAGAGUAGAUAAUGGCAAGCACACAUUAGUCAAUCUCAAUUCAUACUCUGUAACCCUGGGAAGAGUAAGUAGAAGAACCAAAAUUCAACCUGAAGAAUCUAAUACCAGAAUCUUUGCUCUUCCUAUCGCAGUAAUUUUUAAAUGCUAUAAUUCAGUUUGUACUUAUACUUUAUCCUUGACUGUUUUCUCUGAACAUUUAUUUUGUACUGGCUGUGUACCAGGUCCUAAGUUAAAUGCUUAGGUUAUGUUUAUCCUGCUUAAUUUUUAAAAUGGUGCAGAUAAUAUUGGUGCAAAUUUGCUCACUAAACAAUCAAAUGAAAACAUUAAGGAAUAAAGCCUGUUUCUUGAAUUGGGAAAUUGUGUGUGUAUGUGUGUGUGUGUGUGUGUGUGUGUAAAUAUUAAUUAAGACCAUUCUGGUGAAAAAUACCAUGAUUAAAGAAUAUUGUCCUAAAUUAUUCAGCAUAUGCUUUUUUGAUAAAAUUCAAUUAAUUUCAGAGUAUAAUUGUUAAAUAUAUAUUUUUGUGUUCAGCACUAGAGAUCCAGGAGACACAAGAAAAAUACUCAACAAGGGUCUUGUUCUUAAGAAGCCUACUGUUUAGGUCUGAAAAACAGCAGGAUGCAUCAUGAAAACAUAAAUGUGGGGAAUGCUUGGGGAAAUCAUUGUAAGCUGUAGUUGUCAGGGAAGGGUUAGGAAAAGACAUGCCACUUGAGGGCAUAGUGAAGGUAGCACAGGUGUGGAGAAGUGGAUAGAACUUUCCCUGUUGGGGAAGAGUGUGAGUAAAGGCUUAGAGGUGGGGCACUAACCCAGCAUUUUGAAUGACAGUGAUGGGAGCAUUGGUGAGAGAAGCAAUGCCAAGUUAGCUGGGGCGGGGGGUGGGGUGGGCUGGAUCACAGCUGAAUUUCCCAAUGUCAUUCUCUCUCUCUCUUUUUUUUAAGUCGUAGAAGUUUAAGCUGGGCAUAUGGCCAGCCUCCCUUGCAGCUAGGCAUGAUGGUGCAACUAGAUUCUGGCUAAUGGGAUAUCAGCAGAAGUGUUAUGUGAAAUUCCCAGGUUCACAUGUUUAAAGGGAAAUGGAUUUGCCUUCCACUCCCUUUCUCUUUCCUUUUUUCUGCAGGCCAGAGGGUGGACAUAGUAUUGAACUUUCCUGGAUUGUAUGGAUAAGGAUGAGCAGAGAAACAAUCUGGAAGAAGUCUGGUUUCCCAACACUGACAAACUGCCCUACCAGCCCUGGACUACUAGAAUAAGAAAGAAGCAAGAGGAAGAUUCCAUCUGUGAGGCACAGGGGAGUUAUUUUCUCUCAGGCACCCAUAGCACUGAAUUGAAGAUUCUGGCAUUUGUCCAUCUGAAGUAGAAAUAGUUCCUCCAAAUGUAACUUUACCUUAUCCACACAUUUGCAUGAUUGCUACAUGGAAUGUCAUUUGGGAAGACCUUUUAGAGAAUGGGUACAACAGUGGGUGGAACAUUUUUUUUCUCCAUAUGUCAGGUAGGGACACUCUAAGUCUUUGGCCAAACACGUUCAGAAGGAAUCAGGGGCUUGCUGCAAAUCCAGAAAGCUGCUGUAAGAUCUUACAGUUGGUGUGGGGGAGGUAUUAAAAAACACUAAUAUUUCUGGAAUUGAAUGCAUAAAAGAUACCAUAACUUAGAACAAAUUGCUUUUGAAAUUAAAUACAUCUCUUGCAGAUGGCCUGACCUGGCUUUUUGGUUGCCUCUUUUCAAAAUAAUCCUCAUUAAAGGAUGAGUCAUUGCAUUGGCUCCAAAUUUUCAGCCUCUUUCUUUUCCCUGGGUAAAGUUCUCAGAACCAGACCUGUGGAGGAUAGAUGGUUUUCAGACUCUGGAUUCUUUUGAUGUCAGAGGCAUAAGUAGCAUU